UACGUAGGGGGCUAGCGUUGUCCGGAAUCAUUGGGCGUAAAGCGCGCGUAGGCGGCCAGAUAAGUCCGGUGUGAAAGUCAAAGGCUCAACCUUUGAAUGCCGCUGGAAACUGUCUGGCUUGAGUCCGGAAGGGGCGAGUGGAAUUCCUGGUGUAGCGGUGAAAUGCGCAGAUAUCAGGAGUAACACCAAUGGCGAAGGCAGCUCGCUGGAACGGUACUGACGCUGAGGCGCGAAAGCGUGGGGAGCGAACAGG
This 253-nucleotide ribosomal RNA is filed under the name uncultured bacterium. RNAcentral describes it as "partial 16S ribosomal RNA". It matches the Rfam family "Bacterial small subunit ribosomal RNA", at positions 524 to 776 of the family's 1533-position model. The record is from RNAcentral.